AGAGUUUGAUCCUGGCUCAGAACGAACGCUGGCGGCGUGCCUAAUACAUGCAAGUCGAACGAGAAAGUGGAGCAAUCCAUGAGUAAAGUGGCAAACGGGUGAGUAAUACAUAGGUAACUUCCCUUUGAGAUUGGAAUAACCUUCCGAAAGGAGGGCUAAUACCGAGUAAGACCACAGUCACUCCGGUGACAGCGGUCAAAGGAUGGCCUCUACUUGUAAGCUAUCGCUUGAAGAUAGGCCUAUGCACCAUCAGCUAGUUGGUGAGGUAACGGCUCACCAAGGCUUUGACGGUUAGCUGAUCUGAGAGGUUGAUCAGCCACACUGGAACUGAGACACGGUCCAGACUCCUACGGGAGGCAGCAGUAGGGAAUAUUGCGCAAUGGGGGAAACCCUGACGCAGCGACGCCGCGUGGGCGAUGAAGGCUUUCGGGUCGUAAAGCCCUGUCGGGAGGGAAGAAAAACGGAAAGGUGAAUAUCCUUCCGCUUGACGGUACCUCCAAAGGAAGCACCGGCUAACUACGUGCCAGCAGCCGCGGUAAUACGUAGGGUGCUAGCGUUGUUCGGAAUCAUUGGGCGUAAAGCGCGUGUAGGUGGUCAAGCAAGUUGGAUGUGAAAUCCCUGGGCUCAACCGAGGAAGUGCAUCCAAAACUACUUGGCUAGAGGAUGGUAGAGGGAGGUGGAAUUCCUAGUGUAGAGGUGAAAUUCGUAGAUAUUAGGAGGAAUACCUGAGGCGAAGGCGGCCUCCUGGGCCAUUCCUGACACUGAGGCGCGAGAGCGUGGGUAGCAAACAGGAUUAGAUACCCUGGUAGUCCACGCUGUAAACGAUGGGUACUAGGUGUUGCGGGUAUUGACCCCCGCAGUGCCGAAGCUAACGCAUUAAGUACCCCGCCUGGGAAGUACGGCCGCAAGGUUAAAACUCAAAGGAAUUGACGGGGGCCCGCACAAGCGGUGGAGCAUGUGGUUCAAUUCGAUCCACGCGAAAAACCUUACCUGGAUUAGACAACGUCAGACAGCCCUAGAGAUAGGGUCUUCCCUUCGGGGACUGGCGGUACAGGUGCUGCAUGGCUGUCGUCAGCUCGUAUCGUGAGAUGUCGGGUUAAGUCCCUUAACGAGCGCAACCCUUGUCCUUAGUUGCCACCAUUCAGUUGGGCUACUCUAAGGAGACUGCCGGUGUUAAACCGGAGGAAGGUGGGGAUGACGUCAAGUCC
Molecule: ribosomal RNA, 1208 nt
Filed under: metagenome
Description: bacterial SSU rRNA
Rfam family: Bacterial small subunit ribosomal RNA
Source: RNAcentral